UGACGGAGCAACGCCGCGUGAGUGAUGAAGGCUUUCGGGUCGUAAAACUCUGUUGUUAGGGAAGAACAAGUGCUAGUUGAAUAAGCUGGCACCUUGACGGUACCUAACCAGAAAGCCACGGCUAACUACGUGCCAGCAGCCGCGGUAAAUA
RNAcentral lists this ribosomal RNA (151 nucleotides) under uncultured bacterium. Its description in RNAcentral is "partial 16S ribosomal RNA". It matches the Rfam family "Bacterial small subunit ribosomal RNA", at positions 384 to 525 of the family's 1533-position model. The record is from RNAcentral.